AGUACUGCUGCAAGUUAACGUGGUUUGACUGGAGUUCUGUAAAACUAUCAUCUGCAGUGGCAAUGGAAGUGACUUUGGCAUGGAUGGUGAUUUCAGCAUGGUGUAUUUUCAACUCACACCAACUCAGAUAGGAGGUCCUCUUCUGAUAUAACUAUACAGUGACAGCACCUCUAAGAUAUGUUA
Tyto alba (common barn owl) is the source of this 183-nucleotide long non-coding RNA. RefSeq lists it as uncharacterized. The record is from RefSeq and is a predicted model, not a curated record. Lineage: Eukaryota; Metazoa; Chordata; Aves; Strigiformes; Tytonidae. The transcript has 3 exons.